Molecule: ribosomal RNA, 478 nt
Filed under: uncultured bacterium
Lineage: Bacteria
Description: bacterial SSU rRNA
Rfam family: Bacterial small subunit ribosomal RNA
Source: RNAcentral
AACGAACGCUGGCGGCAUGCCUAACACAUGCAAGUCGAACGGACGGUAGCAAUACCGUUAGUGGCGGACGGGUGAGUAACGCGUGGGAACCUGCCUCGAAGUUCGGAAUAACCGCGGGAAACUGCGGCUAAUACCGGAUGUGGCCUGAGGGUCAAAGGCGCAAGUCGCUUCGAGAGGGGCCCGCGUCCGAUUAGCUAGUUGGUGGGGUAACGGCCUACCAAGGCGACGAUCGGUAGCUGGUCUGAGAGGAUGAUCAGCCACACUGGGACUGAGACACGGUCCGGACUCCUACGGGAGGCAGCAGUGGGGAAUAUUGGACAAUGGGGGAAACCCUGAUCCAGCGACGCCGCGUGGGUGAAGAAGGCCUGCGGGUUGUAAAGCCCUUUCAGUGGGGAAGAAAAGCCUCGACCUAACACGUCGGGGUCUUGACGUAACCCAUAGAAGAANCACCGGCUAACUCUGUGCCAGCAGCCGCCGU